Molecule: long non-coding RNA, 234 nt
Organism: Sabethes cyaneus
Lineage: Eukaryota; Metazoa; Arthropoda; Insecta; Diptera; Culicidae
Exons: 3
Source: RefSeq, a predicted model, not a curated record
CGACGCUAAAAGUGCUGAUGAGUUCCCGAAGUGGUUCAUCACGCUUUUCGAGAGCGAACCAAGGCGCUGCUCGAUUGAAACUUUCGCCGAACACUUUUUUGGACUGAUCAGGACGCAAACGGAAGAUUUCACAAAAUGCGCUCCAUCGAUAUGCGACACUCCAAAGAAAACCAACCCGGUGUCAGUCAGGAAGACGUCAAUCACAUUCCCGUCCGAAGAGAUCAAAAUCGAGAA